CCCUUAGGAUUCUCUCUCUCUCUUUAUCUUUCUCAUCCAGAUCGAAACAGGAGAGGCUAUCAACGAGGCGGCGCCUAGCCACCGGAGAUCUCAGGCCAGAGGCCCGGGAACGGAGGGUUGCAGGAGUACACAGUUUUCUGGCUAGGAGACGGAGCAGCGCCGCCCGCGCCAUCCUCCAUGAGUUUCUCCGCCUUGUCCCGGACUCCGGCUGCCCCCCACGCGCCUCCGCCGUCUGCCGCCGCAGCACCCAACUCCGUCGUCCUUCAUCGUUUAUGCGCCGCUCCGCUCGAAUCCGCUAUCUGUUUGCCGCUGCCGCUCGAAGACGAAGGUAAGGUGGCUACAGUUUUCAAUUAUGGUAUGUAUAUGCUUGUGAUUUGGGAAUUUUGUUUUCUUGGAUUUAGAUCAUUUCACAACGGUUAUUAAGCAGUUUCUCUAUUCUGCCUGAAUCUGUCAAAUCAAUGGAAAAGAAACCCAAGGUCGCACACAGGCGUAAGGGGCAUGGCUCAGAACCACACGGAGCAGGCAGUGACGAGGCGCAACCACACGGAGGGCAGGCCGGCGUGCCGCGUGCAACUCCGUCCGAAUCCGAUAAGUGGACAUCCUCGGAUCGGCCCCUCGCCUCUUUGUAGUCUUCCUUGACUCUCCUCUGUGGAUUAGUUUCUGUCCCAGGUAGUCCGACAGUCCGGCUGUCCAGAUUAAUUUCUGUCCCAGCGGCUAGUGCUCCAUGAUAAAUCGACAAUUCAUAAUUCUAUAGAUUCAGUUCCUCCCGUUGUCCCUGCUGGUUGCGCUUGUACCUGUGGAUGCAUUUGGAGAUGAUAAGGAUGUUCGUCUCUACUUUGUUGCUGCAAUGUCAACUCUACAAGAAGUAAUGGAGAAGUUGAAAGAAGCAGCGACCAGAUGCGGUUUAACGAAGGCAGUUUCGAUCACAGACAUUUUCACCAGCAAUACCAUGUUAUAUUAAAUGGUGGUUAUUGAAAGUAGUUAAACAUGUCAUUGUUGUAUACUAGAAGAGAAAGGCUCCUGGUUUCUUAGUGGAACUUUUGCACCUAUUCAGAUUGUGUGUUAUACACUUGGUCAAAGUGUUUUUUUUAUUUGAGCAUCUCUCUGAAUUUCACCA
Molecule: non-coding RNA, 1117 nt
Organism: Lolium perenne
Lineage: Eukaryota; Viridiplantae; Streptophyta; Magnoliopsida; Poales; Poaceae
Source: RefSeq, a predicted model, not a curated record